This 1715-nucleotide long non-coding RNA is filed under the name Salvator merianae (Argentine black and white tegu). RNAcentral's name for it is "lncRNA (ENSSMRG00000007683.1)". Lineage: Eukaryota; Metazoa; Chordata; Lepidosauria; Squamata; Teiidae. The record is from RNAcentral.
CUCCAAAUUUCAUAUAAGAGUAGUAAAAAAUCUUCCUAUGUUGUCAUGUUGCCAGAUCGAUGUUUAAAAAAACAAAACAAACCCUCUUCAGUGCUUUUCAAAUUCUCUCCAAUUUUUCAAAAAUUACGCAAUAUAUAAAAAGUACUCUUCUACUAGGUAUGCAAAACCACUAUUAAUGUAUCCUCAGGCUGAGCCCAGAGGGUCCAUUUUGGACACCAGUUCCCCUCAGGACCAGCCCAAAACAUUGACUUUGGACUCCAGCUCUCCUCAGGCCUUGUCCACAGCAGUCACUCUAAAUUUCAGCUCACUUGAGAACCAACCAGCCCAGAGAACACCAAUUUUGGACUUCAGUUUUCCUCGGACCUGCCCACAGCGGCCAUUUUGGAUUCCAUUUUCCCUCAGCCCUGCCUGCCCAGGGCGGCCAUUUUAAUCUAUCGCUGACUGAACAGAAGAUGUCUUUCAAGGUCUGAGGGAUUGUCCGUCUAUGAAGGCAGUCCAGGUCGGUGUCUCUAAUCUGCACCCAGAGAGGAAGGGCAGGCUGGCACGCGAGAGCGCUUAACUCCCCGUCCUGCUGGCCAGACGUUUAAGUCACAAGGGCCCGGCUGUGGCGACAGGCAGAGGCGUACGGCCAGGACGGUGCUACCGAAGCCCAGAUAGCGUGUGGCAUCGGCGAGUGCGAGGAAAGGGGACCCCUGUCCCAGCUUGCGUCUCUUUAGUUGUGCCCCCCCCCCCAGCAGAAGGAAAAUAAAAGAAACCAGAAGAAGGGCUGCAAGGCUGUGCCCCUUUCUCUGGUGAAAGGGACUAAAGCGACGCUAGGCGCCCUGUGGAGGCGCUGAUUAAUGGCCCCCCGCCUACCUCCCGGACAGGCCCAUCCAUCUCCGCCGCCCUUUGACCCGCGCGGCCGCUCGCCCGGGGNGAGCAGGAGCAGCAGGAGGAGAGCCGGGACGGAGCGGGGGCGGGGGCGCUUUGUCUUCUUGCUGCCGGAUGAGGGGAGCCUCCUCUUCGCCCUCGUCCGUUCUCCCUGACGUGGCUUGCUCGACUUUCGUUUUGGCUCCUUGCGACGGAGGUCUUUGCAGCAGGUGGCAGCGAAGANCAGCGGGAGGGAGGGGGCGCCGUGGAUGGAUGCCCCUUCAGGAGCCCCUCUGCGGCAUGCAACCAUUGCGUCCGCUGCCGGCCGGGGAGUGGGCCUUGGGGCCAGCCAGGCGGAUCUGAAGGCCCUAGUGGGGGCGGUGGGCAUCUGUCUGGUUGCUGGCCGUCAACACCCCUGCCCCCCCCAAAAGUCAUGAACCUUAGCUGUGGAAGAACCACGGCGGGGCUAGUUUGUGGCAGCCUCCCCCCCUCUGCCCCCCCCCCGUACCUGCACCAGAACCGUCAGGACAGAGCAAGAGCGCCUGCCCCCCGUCAGUUGCCCUCCAGGUUCUGGGCAGCCCCACCACAAGCAGCUGCAAAGGAUGUAUCUUGGAAGGUUCUUCAGAGUGGCACAGCACAAAGCAUUCCUCUGAGGAGGUAAGGAAAAAUAACAAAAUGAUUUCAGCAUGCUGGGAGCAGGAAUGAGCUAUUCCUUGCCAGUUUUGGCUUUCUGAGUCCUAGUGAUCAUGGGGAACCCUCAUCUUUGAUGGGUGUCUUAUUCUGGAGGUUCCAGCUUGAAUGAAGCAAAAGAAGAUUGAAGCUAAAAAAAUGGGGUAGUGUGAGCUGAUGUUCAGUUUGGGGGUGAA